Molecule: ribosomal RNA, 532 nt
Filed under: Penicillium spinulosum
Lineage: Eukaryota; Fungi; Ascomycota; Eurotiomycetes; Eurotiales; Aspergillaceae
Description: eukaryotic LSU rRNA
Rfam family: 5.8S ribosomal RNA (bases 161-314)
Source: RNAcentral
GUCUCUGGGUCACCUCCCACCCGUGUUUAUUGUACCUUGUUGCUUCGGUGCGCCCGCCUCACGGCCGCCGGGGGGCUUCUGCCCCCGGGUCCGCGCGCACCGGAGACACCAUUGAACUCUGUCUGAAGAUUGCAGUCUGAGCAUAAACUAAAUAAGUUAAAACUUUCAACAACGGAUCUCUUGGUUCCGGCAUCGAUGAAGAACGCAGCGAAAUGCGAUAACUAAUGUGAAUUGCAGAAUUCAGUGAAUCAUCGAGUCUUUGAACGCACAUUGCGCCCCCUGGUAUUCCGGGGGGCAUGCCUGUCCGAGCGUCAUUGCUGCCCUCAAGCACGGCUUGUGUGUUGGGCUCCGUCCCCCCGGGGACGGGCCCGAAAGGCAGCGGCGGCACGAGUCCGGUCCUCGAGCGUAUGGGGCUUUGUCACCCGCUCUGUAGGCCCGGCCGGCGCCAGCCGACAACCCAUCAUCCUUUUCAGGUUGACCUCGGAUCAGGUAGGGAUACCCGCUGAACUUAAGCAUAUCAAUAAGCGGAGGA